CAUAGAGGCAUACCCCGUGUCCUCUGUUCCACCGCCAUCAGUACCUUUCCCCAUCCCAUCUAUUAUCAUCUGGCUUUCUUUUAUUAUUUUUUUCUGCCGAAAACACUAAAGUUCUGUCCUCCGGGUUUUGACGCCGUCAUAUCUCCGGUCCGCUGCCGCCAAGCUUUCACAACUGCCCUCCGCCGUCUCCUUUGUCCUGUUCGAAGCUUCCCCUCUGCUUGGUGGUUAUUGGUGACCUGCUGCCUCCGCAAUUGCCUGUGUAUAUUGCCUAGUUCGUCGGAUUCCGCCAGUCCUGCUCUCUUUCGAUUUUUCUUCACAUCAGCCUCCCCGGUCAAUCCUCUCUUAGCCACUGUCAAAUCAACUCUUUUCGGGUUUAGGUAAUAGUCAGAAGCCUGCAUCCACCUAGCACUAUCCUAAGCUAAGGCACUCAGCAACCAACUUAUCAAGAUGCCUCGCUUACCUAAGUCUACAUGUAAGCACGUGCCACCCCGCGCUCCACCUAGCACUUCCCUACUGGGCACUUUUCAGGUAGAUGUUGAGGCAAUUAAUUGAAUAGGAAAUGUCAGAUGGAGUUGGAUUGUAGCUAGAUGACCCUUUUGGAUGUAAAAAAUCCCAUGUCAGGAUUAUCUUAUAUCUAUAUAUCUAUAUGAAUUGUAAUAUUUUGAUAACCAUAGUCAAACUUAAACCUGGCAAGAUCUUGGCAGGGGUCGUAGUUGUUAUUAACAUGUAUGUAAAUUAGUUUUUAAUGUA
Molecule: long non-coding RNA, 750 nt
Organism: Daucus carota subsp. sativus
Lineage: Eukaryota; Viridiplantae; Streptophyta; Magnoliopsida; Apiales; Apiaceae
Exons: 3
Source: RefSeq, a predicted model, not a curated record